RNAcentral lists this ribosomal RNA (467 nucleotides) under uncultured bacterium. RNAcentral's name for it is "partial 16S ribosomal RNA". It matches the Rfam family "Bacterial small subunit ribosomal RNA", at positions 29 to 507 of the family's 1533-position model. The record is from RNAcentral.
ACGAACGCUGGCGGCGUGCUUAACACAUGCAAGUCGAACGGAAAGGCCCUGCUUUUGUGGGGUGCUCGAGUGGCGAACGGGUGAGUAACACGUGAGUAACCUGCCCUUGACUUUGGGAUAACUUCAGGAAACUGGGGCUAAUACCGGAUAGGAGCUCCUGCUGCAUGGUGGGGGUUGGAAAGUUUCGGCGGUUGGGGAUGGACUCGCGGCUUAUCAGCUUGUUGGUGGGGUAGUGGCUUACCAAGGCUUUGACGGGUAGCCGGCCUGAGAGGGUGACCGGCCACAUUGGGACUGAGAUACGGCCCAGACUCCUACGGGAGGCAGCAGUGGGGAAUAUUGCACAAUGGGCGGAAGCCUGAUGCAGCAACGCCGCGUGCGGGAUGACGGCCUUCGGGUUGUAAACCGCUUUCGCCUGUGACGAAGCGUGAGUGACGGUAAUGGGUAAAGAAGCACCGGCUAACUACGGG